UGAGUGGAUGCGGAGACCUGGAGCUGGGGAACUAGAGGGCGGAUCUUGAAUGGGAUGCUAGACAUUGCUCAUGAGAAACCCGAGGAGGAUACUAAAAAGACAGCCACAGUUUUCCUCAUGCCUGCCGCCAAGUUUCUUGAGGGCCCAGCUGUUGGGGGUCUGUGGUUGAGUUUUUAAGCCGGAUCAAGUUACAAAGCGCCACACACCUAUCCACAGGGGCUCUGAUAUGGUAUGGGGAAAGUAUUGGCCAGGCAUCUGGUAGCAGAUUGACUCUAUGGGACCCCUUUCUGCAAUGCCGGUUGUAUCAGGAGCGACUAUAGCUUUUUCCAGGAAGCCUCCUGUAAGUCUUUUGUAGAGACUGUAGAAAGCCGUCACACUGAAGGCUGUCUGAUGAAUGGGACUAACGUCGGACGAGAGUGGAUCUGAGCCAUGCAAGAGAUGUACCGUAUCACUGUGUGUGUGCCACUGCACAUCCUCGAGGUUUCUCAGCCCACGUUUUACUCCAGCUGGUGUUGUAGCAACUAGCUUUGUGCAAACAUUCUGACAGCGCCUCACUUCAUCUGCAUCAUGUCUUCCUGCCCUGGGACUUCUCUAAUGCUGCGCCGUGAGAUGGCUAUGGAAACCCACUCAGGCACGUGGAACCCGAAAGGGCGGGGGAGUUAGAGCCAAUGGGCAUCUCUUUUC
Molecule: non-coding RNA, 684 nt
Organism: Delphinapterus leucas (beluga whale)
Lineage: Eukaryota; Metazoa; Chordata; Mammalia; Artiodactyla; Monodontidae
Source: RefSeq, a predicted model, not a curated record